Long non-coding RNA from Passer domesticus (house sparrow), 597 nucleotides. RefSeq lists it as uncharacterized. The record is from RefSeq and is a predicted model, not a curated record. The transcript is spliced from 3 exons. Lineage: Eukaryota; Metazoa; Chordata; Aves; Passeriformes; Passeridae.
CUAUGAUGUUGAGCAGCAAACCAUUAUUUCUGGGUUCCUUGACUACCUAUGACAGGAAUUUGUCAUCAGUGCUUUCAGGAACCUCCUGGACUAUUAGUAUUUUGCUGUUUUGCUUCUCCAGCAGAUGUCAGGGUAGUUAAAGUCCCUAACCAGAACUGGUUCCUGUCACUUUGAGGCUGCUUCAAGCCGCCUCCAGAAGGCCUCAUCCACUUCCUCCUCCUGAUCAGUCACAGCAGUGUCACCAUGACAACAACACAGGGCACAGCAGGGUACCACACUGAGCUCAGCAUCUACUUGAUUAAAACUUCACCAUCUGGAAAGAUCUUCCUCUAAGGAAGAGGGUGUUUCUCUCCCAGCUCUUCUAGAGGAGUAGCUGCUGCUGCUGGCACCCUGUGACCUGCACAACCAGUGUUUGACCCCAUAGCCUGAGAUGACUUCAUAAUUUGAGAUCAUAGGAAAAGGAUUCUUCAGGAAUGUCACACUAGCUCUGAGCCUGAGGAUUUUCACCAAGAUCCCCAGUAAAAUACCGGUAAUGUAAAGUUGCAGGAGAGGAAAUCUGCAGCUGAAUUCACAGAGAUGACUUAGAAAAUUAAUUAA